RNAcentral lists this long non-coding RNA (3347 nucleotides) under Equus caballus (horse). Its description in RNAcentral is "lncRNA (ENSECAG00000057821.1)". The record is from RNAcentral. Lineage: Eukaryota; Metazoa; Chordata; Mammalia; Perissodactyla; Equidae.
GUGGCUCCCGAGGAGGAAAACAGUUCCGCGGGCCCGCUGUGGGAAUAGCCGUGAAUCCCUCAAUGGAAGGGGCCUCAGUGGUGCCAGGCAGCUGCUCCACAAGAGAAUUGGGCCAUUUUCUCCAGGGGGCCCAACUCUCUCUAGUGUUUUUGUCAUGACAGCCUAGGUGGUAGAAGCUGAGGCCAAGGCCGCCUCUAAGGAAUGCUGCCUCCUACAGGGGUCUGACUUCAGGCUUUCCUUGUAUUGAGGCGGGAGCCCUGGAGGGUGCUCAGAGGAUCUCCUCCUCCCUGCAGGGCCCUCUAACGAGGAGAAGAGAAUCAGGUGAGUCAAAAUGAAGCAAAGCCUUGUGCGGCGCUUGAAGCCCACAGCCCACCUGGGCCCUAAGCAAGUGCAGGUGACUCAGAUCUGGUUCCUCUUCUGGCCCUUGGAGCUCUUUGCUACCCUUGCACUCCUCUGCGUGCUCGACUGCCCAGGCCUGGCUGCCACUGCAAUGCCCGGCGCCCCAGACCUUGCCUGGCAAAUGUGCCGCUGCUGGAUACCAUUCCUAGUCUCAUUCCCAGGGAAUCCAGAGGCAAGUCUGGGCUGAUACGCCCUAUGAGAUACAAUGGGCAAGGGAUGGAAAGCAGGAGGAAACGCCAUUUCCUAAUCUAGUUGGCCUUGGAUGGAAACGUGUUUUGGCCGGAUGGAAGCCUUCAGUGAGUCGAUGAUGCGUAUUUAGGACCUACAAUCAAUCCUCUCCAGGAUCUUUUACAGGACCCGGCUGUAGCGAAAAACUCACCAAUGCUUCUGGCUUUGCCUUUGCUUUAGUUGAGAGCUUUUGGUUGCAAGGAAUCAACUUGAGCUGGCUUAAUUAUUAAGGGAAAUAUGUGGUGAGGCAGUAUCUCAUGAAGCCCAAGGACAGAUGGCUACGAGGAAGCCAGGAAGCAGGCCUUCUCCAGCCUUCGCCUCUGCUCCACGUCUCUCUGCAAUCAACUCUCCUUCCUUCUUCUCUCUGGGCAGCUGAGUGGAAGAGGAUCCCUCACAACUGCCGGGUUUACACCCUCCCUACUGAAGAGAGUCCAGGUACCGUGCUGACUCUGAAGACAGCGACGGGCGAGACUAACUGGCUGCAUCCUCCUGGAGACUGUGAUUUCGUUUGCAAAGGAGGAACAAGGAUGACUUGAAAAUAAUCCCGGGUCAACGUCAAACCAGAUGGAAACUGCUUUUGUUUAUCCUCACAUAAACUACCAAUUUAAAGAAAAUACUACUUAUUUUCCUAAGUCUGAAGAGUUGAGGUUAAAGAAUUUCCCGGCAGGAGCACACCAUGUGCCAGGUAUUGUAUUCACUGAUGAUUCAAGUUACAGCAGCCCUAGCCUGUCAUUAUCGUGUUUAAAGAACUGGACUUUUGGAGGGAGCGAUCAGUAACUUCACUGAGUGAGCAAGCGAGCAGUUCACCGCAUACCUGAAACAGGACUCAAAGCACCGCCACUGACGCGCAGCCAUUCAGGUGUAUGUCCAAUGCGUUUAGGGAGCCAACACUGUGUCGUACAGUCAGUUACAGCAAAAAAUGAGGAAGCAAGUUCUAGGGGUGGCCGGUGUCUGAUGUAAGAGGAGCCUCAGGCCAGCAGGAAAAGUCCAGCGUUGGUAACAGAGAGGGGCCAAAGAAAAUGUGAACUGUGAGGUGUGAGCAGACCUCCAUUUCUUUGACAAUGUGGUUGCGCUGGAAGGUCAAGGCAACACGUGUGAAUUUCAGUAUGACGUUAGGCAAAAAUCUUUUACACUGGCCUGUAGAGGCGUAGGGUAGAUGUGGGGUAAAUUAGACUGAUUUGCAGCUGGUUGAACAAUCACUGCCUAAAAGUCUUGGUAAUGGAUCCAUUUCAACUUCGAUGGAGGUCUCUAUUGACUCGCCACAGGACUCUAGCUGGAGCCUUACUCAGUACAAUAUUGUUACAACUGAUAUCCUGAAGAAAUCUGUUGAUGACAAAGAUGAGAGCAAUAACUUGUGCACGAAGAUGCUAGAACCGGGGUCUAAAAAUAUUUCUAAAGAGUGAAACAAUGUGCCAAGUCUAAUAAGGUAGAAUUUCAUAUGGAAGUAUUCCACCAUUGGGCCCCUAAAAGCCAUCCCAACAAGUUCAGGGUGGUUGAACCUGGCACGUUUAAAGGAAACCAGGAUGAGGCAAAUACAAAAAUGUCAAAAAUGUAUCUGUAAAGACCUUGUUCUGAGUACGCCACCACUUGGCUUCCAGGACGUUUCCUGAAGCUCCAUGACAUCAGUGGGGAUUAAGCCAGGGGACAGGAGGGUCAGGGUGGGAAGAAACUCGGGGAGAAUAGUUCAAGAGUUCAAUAUGCAAAAGAAAACAACACAAUAACCGGUUACCUAAAAUGGAAUAUGAGAGGCCUCAGAUGAUAUUCAUAGAAACAGUAUGUCCAGAAUAAAGGAGGGGAUGGUCCUGCUCUACUCUGCAAGUUAGGCCUCACCUGGAAGAUUGGAGGCAAUUCUGGGUUACUCCCUUAUACAGAGGUAGUAACCAGCUAAAAUAUAGAGAGAAUACAGCAACUCAGAUGGAAAGGGUCUUGAAGUCAUGUCACAUCCCUGCUCUCAAUCCUGCAGAGUGUAGCCCUGUCAAGGCCACUUGACCCCGGGCUCCCUCUCACACCUCCUUUCCUGCCUCUCUCCCCUUCCUGUCACCGCUCCUGCAUGCUGGCCUCCCCAAUAUUCCACAGACAUCCAGCAUUGCUCACAGAGGGCUGUUGCCCUCUCCUGCAGUCACACGGCUCAUCUCCUCAGAGGGCUGGGGCUUUGGUGCCCUCUUCCAUCCCUUGCUCCCGGUACACCCUAGGGACUCAGUGAGCACUUUUUGAGGGACUCAAUGAAUAAAACGAGGCCGUACUGCAAACCGACACAUCAGACUGACCCAUCAGCAAGCUCCAUCAGACUGGGGAGGAGCUAUGUCCCCGAGGCGCCCUUCCCACCUGACCAGAUGAGGGACGCUCAAGGAAAGGCACCCUGGGUAUUGCAGGCUCCGUGCAAAGAAAUACUUCUAAGGAAAGGAGGGGCCGCUCGCAGCAUCCCAGCCACGAGGGAAAAGGCACAAAGUAUCAGUGUGGAGGGAGUCCAGGAGUCUUCGAGCUGAUACCGGCAGCGCUGACUUACUCCCACAGUCCUGCAGCAGGCUGCGAGCAGAGAUACGGCCUGGCAGUGUGUCAUGGGAAUUUGUGACUGUUUCUCUGGCUGUGUGAUGAGAUUUUUGGCUGCCUAGAAACGUUGGUGGUUGGAACCCCCCGGGCUAGUGUUCUGUUAACCUAGUAAGUAGAAAGGAAAGUCUUUCCUGGAAUUCUGAAUUUUAAAAACCUGUUUCAAAAAAGCA